GUAGGGGAGACUGGAAUUCNUGGUGUANCGGUGGAAUNCGCAGAUAUCAGGAGGAACACCGAUGGCGAAGGCAGGUCUCUGGGCAGUAACUGACGCUGAGGAGCGAAAGCAUGGGUAGCGAACAGGAUUAGAUACCCUGGUAGUCCAUGCCGUAAACGGUGGGCGCUAGGUGUGAGUCCCUUCCACGGGGUUCGUGCCGUAGCUAACGCAUUAAGCGCCCCGCCUGGGGAGUACGGCCGCAAGGCUAAAACUCAAAGGAAUUGACGGGGGCCCGCACAAGCGGCGGAGCAUGUGGAUUAAUUCGAUGCAACGCGAAGAACUUUACCUGGGCUUGACAUACACCAGACCGGGCCAGAGAUGGUCUUUCCCUUUGUGGUUGGUGUACAGGUGGUGCAUGGUUGUCGUCAGCUCGUGUCGUGAGAUGUUGGGUUAAGUCCCGCAACGAGCGCAACCCUUGUCUUAUGUUGCCAGCACGUUAUGGUGGGGACUCGUGAGAGACUGCCGGGGUUAACUCGGAGGAAGGUGGGGAUGACGUCAAAUCAUCAUGCCCCUUAUGUCCAGGGCUUCACACAUGCUACAAUGGUCGGUACAACGCGUCUGCGAGCCUGUGAGGGUGAGCUAAUCGCUGUAAAGCCGGUCGUAGUUCGGAUUGGGGUCUGCAACUCGACCCCAUGAAGUCGGAGUCGCUAGUAAUCGCAGAUCAGCAACGCUGCGGUGAAUACGUUCCCGGGCCUUGCACACANCGCCCGU
Molecule: ribosomal RNA, 750 nt
Filed under: uncultured bacterium
Lineage: Bacteria
Description: bacterial SSU rRNA
Rfam family: Bacterial small subunit ribosomal RNA
Source: RNAcentral